RNAcentral lists this long non-coding RNA (251 nucleotides) under Mytilus galloprovincialis (Mediterranean mussel). Lineage: Eukaryota; Metazoa; Mollusca; Bivalvia; Mytilida; Mytilidae. The record is from RNAcentral.
CACGUGUUUUGAACCAUUUUAUUGCUUAAAGUUCAGUGGAAAAUAUAUACAUAUUCAACCCUGCCAUACUAUUUGGCCUACUGCGAGUUGGUCAGUUUUCACUGUUACUCCUAAAUAAUGGGAGCUGGGAAAACCAAAUAGUUCUGAAUUAUUUAUCUGAAACGCUAAGCUUAUGUUAGAGAUUUUUGAAACGUAUAUCAACUUGUUUGAUGCAGGUUUAAAAUUAUUUUUUACUCAAUAAAUGCAAAACC